This is a long non-coding RNA of Bombina bombina (fire-bellied toad), 676 nucleotides long. RefSeq lists it as uncharacterized. The record is from RefSeq and is a predicted model, not a curated record. NCBI's taxonomy places the organism in Eukaryota, Metazoa, Chordata, Amphibia, Anura, Bombinatoridae. The transcript has 2 exons.
AUCUUUCCCAGUUUUUCUGUCUUUCCCAAACCACGAUCACCAGGCUGGUUCCAAUCUUUAGGAAAGACAACACAUCAUGUAAUUUCUGAUACAUUGUCCGCUUGAGAAUUUACAGUAAAGGGGAUAAAACGGCUCAAAGCUGGAUCCAGGCUGAACUUGUUGCAAAGUAAUCAGGAAGAGAGAAAGGAACCCAAAAAAUGCCAAACAUGCCAGAAACGACAAGGAUUUGAAGCUUCCAGAUCCUGUGAUAGAGCGAGUGAGAGAGAGAAAAAGAAACAAACCACAAUAUUUUCUGCUUACCUGGAACAGUUGAAAUGUCUGGGACUUUUUUUUUUUUUUUUUAAAGAAAUGUUAUCUUUGUAGCAAUUGGUUUAAUGUAUCUGGGGACCAGGAGUAGGCACUGAAUGGGGGGAAAGAGGAGGCAGAUCUGGUCAGCACUUUGUUGGGAAAGACUUGUAUUUUUUUUUUUUUUUCUUUUGGGCAGCCCGGAGUAGGAUUGUCUCUGCCCCCCUCCUCUUGUCUGAUGAAGGUCAGGUGAGGAUGAGGAGGCUCAGCUGGCACUGCCACUGAUAGUAUAGUCGCUGUUGUUGUUGGUGCUGGUUGGGAAGCAGGCUUGGUAUUUUGGAAAGGUGACAGCUUUUCAGAGGAAUCUCUGGAAUGAAAGAGAGGAAUGAAA